Molecule: non-coding RNA, 271 nt
Organism: Jatropha curcas
Lineage: Eukaryota; Viridiplantae; Streptophyta; Magnoliopsida; Malpighiales; Euphorbiaceae
Source: RefSeq, a predicted model, not a curated record
AACUGGAUAUAGGGAUGCUUAUGUGGAAAAUUUUAACAAGAAAGGAAAAAGAAGACGGGAAGGGAAAUGAUAAGAAAAAUGAAAAGGUAGGUUUUAUAUAUAUAUAUAUAUAUAUAUAGGGGUUUUUUUGCAUAUGUUGAUGUUGUUGUUGGUUUGGGAGUUGGGUCCAAAGGAAAGAGUUUUUGAGAGUUUAAUUAAUGUGUUGGGAUUUAAUUUUUGUGUUGGGGUUUAAUAAAUUCGAUGCUCAGAAAUUAAUGUUUGGCGUACCAAA